GAUGAACGCUGGCGGCGUGCCUAAUACAUGCAAGUCGAGCGAACGGACGAGAAGCUUGCUUCUCUGAUGUUAGCGGCGGACGGGUGAGUAACACGUGGAUAACCUACCUAUAAGACUGGGAUAACUUCGGGAAACCGGAGCUAAUACCGGAUAAUAUUUUGUACCGCAUGGUUCAAAAGUGAAAGACGGUCUUGCUGUCACUUAUAGAUGGAUCCGCGCUGCAUUAGCUAGUUGGUAAGGUAACGGCUUACCAAGGCAACGAUGCAUAGCCGACCUGAGAGGGUGAUCGGCCACACUGGAACUGAGACACGGUCCAGACUCCUACGGGAGGCAGCAGUAGGGAAUCUUCCGCAAUGGGCGAAAGCCUGACGGAGCAACGCCGCGUGAGUGAUGAAGGUCUUCGGAUCGUAAAACUCUGUUAUUAGGGAAGAACAUAUGUGUAAGUAACUGUGCACAUCUUGACGGUACCUAAUCAGAAAGCCACGGCUAACUACGUGCCAGCAGCCGCGGUAAUACGUAGGUGGCAAGCGUUAUCCGGAAUUAUUGGGCGUAAAGCGCGCGUAGGCGGUUUUUUAAGUCUGAUGUGGAAGCCCACGGCUCAACCGUGGAGGGUCAUUGGAAACUGGAAAACUUGAGUGCAGAAGAGGAAAGUGGAAUUCCAUGUGUAGCGGUGAAAUGCGCAGAGAUAUGGAGGAACACCAGUGGCGAAGGCGACUUUCUGGUCUGUAACUGACGCUGAUGUGCGAAAGCGUGGGGAUCAAACAGGAUUAGAUACCCUGGUAGUCCACGCCGUAAACGAUGAGUGCUAAGUGUUAGGGGGUUUCCGCCCCUUAGUGCUGCAGCUAACGCAUUAAGCACUCCGCCUGGGGAGUACGACCGCAAGGUUGAAACUCAAAGGAAUUGACGGGGACCCGCACAAGCGGUGGAGCAUGUGGUUUAAUUCGAAGCAACGCGAAGAACCUUACCAAAUCUUGACAUCCUUUGACAACUCUAGAGAUAGAGCCUUCCCCUUCGGGGGACAAAGUGACAGGUGGUGCAUGGUUGUCGUCAGCUCGUGUCGUGAGAUGUUGGGUUAGGUCCCGCAACGAGCGCAACCCUUAAGCUUAGUUGCCAUCAUUAAGUUGGGCACUCUAAGUUGACUGCCGGUGGCAAACCGGAGGAAGGUGGGGAUGACGUCAAAUCAUCAUGCCCCUUAUGAUUUGGGCUACACACGUGCUACAAUGGACAAUACAAAGGGCAGCGAAACCGCGAGGUCAAGCAAAUCCCAUAAAGUUGUUCUCAGUUCGGAUUGUAGUCUGCAACUCGACUACAUGAAGCUGGAAUCGCUAGUAAUCGUAGAUCAGCAUGCUACGGUGAAUACGUUCCCGGGUCU
This 1372-nucleotide ribosomal RNA is filed under the name uncultured bacterium. RNAcentral's name for it is "bacterial SSU rRNA". It matches the Rfam family "Bacterial small subunit ribosomal RNA", at positions 28 to 1381 of the family's 1533-position model. The record is from RNAcentral.